Molecule: ribosomal RNA, 301 nt
Filed under: uncultured bacterium
Lineage: Bacteria
Description: partial 16S ribosomal RNA
Rfam family: Bacterial small subunit ribosomal RNA
Source: RNAcentral
CAGUCGCCGCGGUAAUACGGAGGGUGCAAGCGUUAAUCGGAAUUACUGGGCGUAAAGCGCACGCAGGCGGUCUGACAAGUCAGAUGUGAAAUCCCCGGGCUUAACCUGGGAACUGCAUUUGAAACUGUCAGGCUGGAGUCUUGUAGAGGGGGGUAGAAUUCCAGGUGUAGCGGUGAAAUGCGUAGAGAUCUGGAGGAAUACCGGUGGCGAAGGCGGCCCCCUGGACAAAGACUGACGCUUAGGUGCGAAAGCGUGGGGAGCAAACAGGAUUAGAUACCCGAGUAGUCCCUGUCCCUUAUAC